AGGCCAUCCAAGUCAGUGUUGUUGCACAUGAGCAACUGAAGGCAGAAUUUGGCUCAUGCCGCAUGAAGAAAGGCAAGGGACAGUUUUUCAGGUUCCAAAUAUUCCUUAGAUCUCUGGAAGAUGAUGAGAUGAUCAAUCAGGAGACUGUGGCCAGAUAUGAGAGAUUAGACAAGCGCCAUGGUAGCAACAGAAAGAGUAGUCCCUGCUGAGUGCUUUCUGAACUUUUGGGGUGCAUUUAAGGAAACAUGGUCCCUGAUCCUGGAAGCUCACAAUCUAAGGAAUUCAUAAGAUAAGUCACUGAACUUUAUUUCCUUGUACCAAUUUAUUAGAUGGCACCUUAUUGUAUUAAUUAAUGUGAUUAUUAGAGCUGGUUGGAACAUUUUCAAAGGAAUCAUUUUUCAUCAGAAAAUGCAGGGGUUUUUUUCAGAAUGAAAAUGUUCUACAGGACUGUGUAGCUUUUGAGAAAAAUUUCAACAAAGUGUUGAAAUCAUUUCAACUUCCUGAAUUUGUUUUGAUGACAUGUUUUGUUUUUAUAAGGGAAACAUUCCAUUUUUACCUUAUCAUUUUGUUUCA
Molecule: non-coding RNA, 573 nt
Organism: Chrysemys picta bellii (western painted turtle)
Lineage: Eukaryota; Metazoa; Chordata; Testudines; Emydidae
Source: RefSeq, a predicted model, not a curated record